Non-coding RNA from Elusimicrobia bacterium GWD2_63_28, 84 nucleotides. The record is from Rfam. Lineage: Bacteria; Pseudomonadati; Elusimicrobiota.
GGGCUUGUGGCGGAACUGGUAGACGCGACUGACUUAAAAUCAGUUGGCCGCAAGGCCGUGCGGGUUCGAGUCCCGCCUUGCCCA